Molecule: long non-coding RNA, 482 nt
Organism: Phyllostomus hastatus (greater spear-nosed bat)
Lineage: Eukaryota; Metazoa; Chordata; Mammalia; Chiroptera; Phyllostomidae
Exons: 3
Source: RefSeq, a predicted model, not a curated record
GCUCCGGCCUCUGGAGAAGGGCAACUACAAAAACGCUCCCGGCGAUUCCUUUGUCAUCCUCAGAGAGUUGAGUUGAUGAUACUCCUCCUCUCAUGGACAAUAUCAGCCUUGCUCCUUGGUCUCCUGAUUCAUAACCCCCUGCACUGCCUCUCCUCCCCCCAACACACACAGUCCAGCAUCCUCGUGUGUUCAGCGAAUGUCCUCCAUUUAUGGGAGUUGUAAACUGUGUCUAUGUAGACAAGAAGCAUCGCCUAUUCCUUCAGUAGAUUACAACGUAUGGGAGAAGUUGGCCAUGUGGCUGCUUGCUGCUUGCCUGGUGUUCAGAGCUGAGACCUCCUGAACUCCCCGAGCAACCAUCGAGUAGCUGGCCUGAGGUUACUGGGAGGGGGCCAGUGUCUGGUGGACCCUCGCUUGCACCCUGAAAUAAAGACCAGCGUAUUAUUGAGGCCUUGCCGUUUCACAUGCAGCUCAGGCCAUGGCAG